AUGGAGUCAGUGGGAAAUCCAGCUGGUGGUGCUCCUCAGCUUCACCCUGCAAAUCUUUCUCUUCUUCACCCUGCAAAUGCUCUGCUCAGGCUUCUUACCUGGCUAGCUUAUGUUGCGGCAGACAUGGUCGCCGUAUACGCCCUUGGCCUCAUAUCCCGAGAUGAUCAGAGCACCACGACAUCGCCUGGAUCAUGCCAUGGGAACAAGGGAUCAAACGGACUCUCCACGGGCACAAGCCGCCACCUAGCGUUCCUCUGGGCGCCUUUCCUCCUCAUCCAUCUCGGCGGGCAGGACACCAUUUCGGCCUUCUCCAUCGAGGACAACAACCUGUGGCUGAGGCACCUGCUGAACCUGACCAUCCAAGUCUCCUUGGCCUUGUACGCCUUUUGGAAGUCGAUAGGUGGACGUAACCAGCGGCUCCUUGCUCCAGCCGUCCUGGUGUUCGUCGCCGGGAUCAUCAGGUAUGGGGAGAGGACAUGGGCGCUCAAGUGCGGUAGCCGGAAUGGCCUCAAGGAAACAAGCCUGCCCCCAUUGCCUAAGCUGAAUGUUGAGGUCGACAAAAGCAGCUAUGUUGGCACCAUCUGCUACGUUCUAGGCUCAAUGGCUGCCAUCCGGGAUCUUUUCUCAGGGCGCACCACCUCCCAAAUGAAAGAGCGUCGAGCCUUCAGGUUCCAAGAAGACAGGCCCCUAGACCAAGUGCCCAAGCUGCUGGAGGUCGAGCUUGCCAUGAUGUACGAUGAUCUCUACACCAAGGCCAUGGUGCUUAGAACAAGGACAUGCGUCGUGCUCCGGUGCGUCAGCCAGGUCUCCUCUAUAGCUGCCUUUGUGCUCUUUCUAGUUGGAAACGACAGACAAGAAUACAGUGGAACCGACAUCGCGAUCACCUAUGCGUUAUUCAUCGGUGGAUUAAGUCUUGAUGUUUGUGCUUUUGUUCCGAUUGCGAUGUCGCCGUGGACUUGGGCCUUCUUCAAAGCUCGAAGGUGCGAAAGGCUUGCCCGCAUUUCUUGGCUCGUUCUCUCAAGUCGCGUCGGCUGGCCGGAGAAGAGACCGUUGUGGUCCAACUCUAUGGGGCAGUAUAACUUCUUGAGCUCAUGUAUGGGCUGUGAGCAAUCAGCAACAUCAUCCAAACUAAUGACUGUCAUGAGAAAGAUGUUAGACGCGGUUGAGAAGAAGCUCUUCGUCAGAAACCUACAGCACACCAAGCAUGCCAAGGUGAGCAAGGUCGCGUGGGUUGGACGCCUUUCCCGCGAAAACUUCACAAGGAUGACGCAGCAGCAACACUGGGCGAAUCUUCGCCCAAUCAUCAAGGCAACACUGAGCUCCGCAGCUAAUUCUUUCGGCGAUAACAUCAUCCUCUUGCAUACAUACACAGAACUGCACUUGCGGAAACGCCCCAGCAACAUGGAUGACGAAGCAUUAUCAGACAUGUGCAGGAAGUUGGCUAACUAUAUGGUGUACCUCCUGGUUGUGCAGCCUUCCAUGUUGCCACUAAGUGGCACCGCGGAGGACACGUUGGCCGGACUCUACGAGGAGAUGAGCAAGAACGGCAGCCGCGAGCGAGAUGUCCUAGACACCGCCUAUCAUCUGGUGGAAGACAAGCUGGAGUUCGGCUAUGAGGAAUGCCUGAAAGAACAGGAGCAACCCGGGCCGUGGCGCGAGACGCUGACGGAGAUCCAGGAUAUGUGGAUGAGGCUACUGCUCUACGCGGCCGGCAAGUGCCCCGUGGAGAUGCACGCCCAGCAGCUAGGCAGAGGAGGGGAGCUCCUCACCAUGGUCUGGUUGCUCAUGGCGCAUAAUGGCAUUGGAGACGUUGGUGAUCAGGUUGAGCUUAUCACUAAUGAUGAAACUAUGGAGGGCCCGUUCUGUGCAUUUCAUCUUCCUAAAGAAUCAGAACACAUGUCUGCAUAG
RNAcentral lists this ribosomal RNA (1908 nucleotides) under Triticum aestivum (bread wheat). RNAcentral describes it as "partial small subunit ribosomal RNA". The record is from RNAcentral. Lineage: Eukaryota; Viridiplantae; Streptophyta; Magnoliopsida; Poales; Poaceae.